UACGUAGGGGGCUAGCGUUGUCCGGAUUUAUUGGGCGUAAAGAGCGUGUAGGCGGCCAGGUAGGUCUGCUGUGAAAACUCGAGGCUCAACCUCGAGACGUCGGCGGAAACCAUCUGGCUAGAGUCCGGAAGAGGCGAGUGGAAUUCCCGGUGUAGCGGUGAAAUGCGCAGAUAUCGGGAGGAACACCAAUGGCGAAGGCAGCUCGCUGGGACGGUACUGACGCUGAGGCGCGAAAGCUAGGGGAGCAAACAGG
Molecule: ribosomal RNA, 253 nt
Filed under: uncultured bacterium
Lineage: Bacteria
Description: partial 16S ribosomal RNA
Rfam family: Bacterial small subunit ribosomal RNA
Source: RNAcentral